GGUUCGAUGGCGUAGUCGGUUAUCGCAUCUGUCUUACAUAGAACUCUCCUGAGUAUGCGUUACACAGAAGGCCCCCGGUUCGAGCCCGGGUCGAACCA
Molecule: non-coding RNA, 98 nt
Organism: Collybiopsis luxurians FD-317 M1
Lineage: Eukaryota; Fungi; Basidiomycota; Agaricomycetes; Agaricales; Omphalotaceae
Source: the annotation of a GenBank genome assembly